This 253-nucleotide ribosomal RNA is filed under the name uncultured bacterium. RNAcentral's name for it is "partial 16S ribosomal RNA". It matches the Rfam family "Bacterial small subunit ribosomal RNA", at positions 524 to 776 of the family's 1533-position model. The record is from RNAcentral.
GACAGAGGAUGCAAGCGUUAUCCGGAAUGAUUGGGCGUAAAGCGUCUGUAGGUGGCUUUUCAAGUCCGCCGUCAAAUCCCAGGGCUCAACCCUGGACAGGCGGUGGAAACUACCAAGCUGGAGUACGGUAGGGGCAGAGGGAAUUUCCGGUGGAGCGGUGAAAUGCAUUGAGAUCGGAAAGAACACCAACGGCGAAGGCGGCUCACUGGCCCGAUACUGACGCUGAGGUGCGAAAGCGUGGGGAGCAAACAGG